AUUGACUAAGGUUUCCAGAGGAAGGCUCGUCCGCUCUGGGUUAGUCGGGUCCUAAGCUGAGGCCGACAGGCGUAGGCGAUGGAUAACAGGUUGAUAUUCCUGUACCACCUAGCAUCGUUUUAAUCGAUGGGGGGACGCAGUAGGAUAGGCGAAGCGUACGAUUGGAUUGUACGUCUAAGCAGUGAGAUUGAGUGUUAGGCAAAUCCGGCACUCUUAAGAUUGAGCUGUGAUGGGGAGAGGAAAUUGUUUCCUCGAGUCGUUGAUUUCACACUGCCGAGAAAAGCCUCUAGAUAGAUAAUAGGUGCCCGUACCGCAAACCGACACAGGUAGUCAAGAUGAGAAUUCUAAGGUGAGCGAGCGAACUCUCGUUAAGGAACUCGGCAAAAUGACCCCGUAACUUCGGGAGAAGGGGUGCUCUUUAGGGUGCAAGCCCAGAAGAGCCGCAGUGAAUAGGCCCAAGCGACUGUUUAUCAAAAACACAGGUCUCUGCUAAACCGUAAGGUGAUGUAUAGGGGCUGACGCCUGCCCGGUGCUGGAAG
This 539-nucleotide ribosomal RNA is filed under the name Corynebacterium kefirresidentii. RNAcentral's name for it is "bacterial LSU rRNA". It matches the Rfam family "Bacterial large subunit ribosomal RNA", at positions 1340 to 1875 of the family's 2925-position model. The record is from RNAcentral. Lineage: Bacteria; Bacillati; Actinomycetota; Actinomycetes; Mycobacteriales; Corynebacteriaceae.